GCCUGCGUGGUGGAAUGGCUAUAUUUGUCUUCAAUCAGUUAUGACUGACAUUUUAGAGGGUCGUGGGUUCAAUCCCCACCUUAGUCA
Molecule: non-coding RNA, 87 nt
Organism: Mycena capillaripes
Lineage: Eukaryota; Fungi; Basidiomycota; Agaricomycetes; Agaricales; Mycenaceae
Source: the annotation of a GenBank genome assembly